UUUAGUGGCUGCCAAAAAGAUCAUUGCUUAUCCACAGGUUUGGAAAGGCCAAGGAUCAAGGAAAUGGAAACAUGCACAGAGUGAUGGUUUCUUUGUUCAAUUUGAGUCUCCUUCCGUCCGAAAAUUGUGGUUUAUUCUCAGUUCAAAUGAAAAGGGACAGACACUUUGCAGCUGAGGCCAUACUUCUUGGUUUUCAACAUUAUCUUGUGAUGCUGGGAACAACCGUGUUAAUUCCUACUUCUCUCGUUCCUCAGAUGGGAGGUGGCAAUGAGGAGAAAGCUAAAGUUAUCCAAACACUAGAGUUAAAUUUUAUACUCGUGUUUUAUUUGUUACAAACAGUCCAGUGGAGCUUUUAUUGUUGUUUAUCGGUUCGCAAGUGCAACACCAUUACCACCAACAAUUCUUAGUCGGGGUAUUGGUUGGCAGGGUGUUGGCAUUCUGUUAUCAGGAUUGUUUGGAACCGACAUUGGAUCUUCUGUAUCUGUAGAAAAUGCUGGUCUUUUGGCUUUGACACGUGUUGGCAGUCGAAGAGUGGUGCAAAUAUCCGCCGGGUUUAUGAUUUUCUUUUCAAUUUUAGGAAAAUUUGGAGCAGUAUUCGCAUCCAUCCCCCCUCCCAUUGUUGCAGCACUAUACUGCUUGUUCUUUGCUUAUGUUGGUAUGUCUGAUAUCACAUAUAAUCACAAGUCAUUAAACUGUUUCUUCCUUGUAGAAUUUAUAUUUUUGAGAGUCGAGUCAUGGUUUAGAGAACACACUACAAAACAUUAAACUGUUUCUUCCUUGUAGAAUUUAUCUAUAUAAUACACUUCAACUUGAAAGGGGGCCUUUAAGAUCCUAUGAAGGUGGUACUUUAUCAUCUCAUAUGAAGGUGAUAAUUUUGCUUGUAACCUAAUUUUCUUUGCAUUCAGUUUCUUUCGAGUCCCGACUUUAUCUCUGUCCGAUGUAUGCAAUUCUAGUCUGCAAUUAGCCCUGAUGCAUUGAACAUAGGUAGCGGUUCUAAGGAAGGAAAUAUAUAUAUUUCGAAGGUUACAUAUCUUACUUUCACAGUUUCACUAAGCUACUAUAAGUUUGGCACUUGGAUUGCAGUAGGGAUGGAAUUUAACUGAACUUUCAAACAACAGGUCAACAAGCCUCAUGAACAACCUACUAUUUUGUUUCCGCGCGAUGGAGAAAAUGCAUCCUUAGUUGACUGGUAAAUUAAAAAAUAAGAUUGGUUUUAGUUCUCUUUGAUAUAUGAAUUAUGAGUUACUUAUUUCUUUGGCAGGUCCUUCUCCGAGUUUGGAAAAUAAGCAACUGCUGGUGAACACAUAGUUCGAAUAUGGGAUCAAGAUCAUCCAGAAAUGGAAUAAAGAAGUUUAAAUUCCAGGAAGAAAAUCAUCUGUUGAGUUUAUUACUAUCAAAUUUUUGUGUAGUUUGUUAUGACAUUGGGUGUAAUUAUAGGAUCAGGAGUAGUAAUGUAGCAGGAACAUAUGGCAGUAGAAUUUUGGAGUUGUGUUGCCUUGAUUAUUGAGGCAUUAAUAAGUUUCAGUUGUGUGGUAAUUGAAACUAUAGUUGUAUCUUGACUUUUUUUCAUGGGCCCAUUUUAAUAAAUUGAAACUAUAGCAUA
Molecule: long non-coding RNA, 1603 nt
Organism: Trifolium pratense (red clover)
Lineage: Eukaryota; Viridiplantae; Streptophyta; Magnoliopsida; Fabales; Fabaceae
Exons: 8
Source: RefSeq, a predicted model, not a curated record